This 322-nucleotide ribosomal RNA is filed under the name uncultured bacterium. RNAcentral describes it as "bacterial SSU rRNA". It matches the Rfam family "Bacterial small subunit ribosomal RNA", at positions 30 to 353 of the family's 1533-position model. The record is from RNAcentral.
AUUGAACGCUAGCGGCAUGCUUAACACAUGCAAGUCGAGCGGAAACGAUGGAAGCUUGCUUCCAGGCGUCGAGCGGCGGACGGGUGAGUAACGCGUAGGAAUCUACCUUAUAGUGGGGGAUAACCCGGGGAAACUCGGGCUAAUACCGCAUAAUCUCUUCGGAGCAAAGCGGGGGAUCUUCGGACCUCGUGCUAAAAGAUGAGCCUGCGUUGGAUUAGCUUGUGGUGGGUAACGCUACAAGGCGACGAUCCAUAGCUGGUCUGAGAGGACGAUCAGCCACACUGGGACUGAGACACGGCCCAGACUCCUACGGGAGGCAGCA